This 405-nucleotide ribosomal RNA is filed under the name Malayotyphlops luzonensis (Luzon worm snake). Its description in RNAcentral is "partial 16S ribosomal RNA". It matches the Rfam family "Bacterial large subunit ribosomal RNA", at positions 1968 to 2594 of the family's 2925-position model. Lineage: Eukaryota; Metazoa; Chordata; Lepidosauria; Squamata; Typhlopidae. The record is from RNAcentral.
UUUGUCUACUAAUAUUAUAGACCAGUAUGAAAGGCCACAUGAGGGUUCAUACUGUCUCCUGAGGCUAAUUUAUGAAACUGAUCUUUUAGUUCAAAAGCUAAAAUACCAAUAUAAGACGAGAAGACCCUGUGAAGCUUUAAAGAUUUUUACUAACAACCUAGCAAAUAUUUUUAGUUGGGGCAACUUUGGAAAAGAAACAAACCUCCAAAAGGCAACGCCUUAUAAGACCAAAGAGUCAAUCACGACCCAGUACAACUGAUAAAUGAACCAAGUUACUCCAGGGAUAACAGCGCAAUCUUCUUCAAGAGCCCAUAUCAAAAAGAAGGUUUACGACCUCGAUGUUGGAUCAGGACACCAAAACGGCGCAGCCGCUGUUAAAAGUUCGUUUGUUCAACGAUUAAAAGU